Molecule: ribosomal RNA, 425 nt
Filed under: uncultured bacterium
Lineage: Bacteria
Description: bacterial SSU rRNA
Rfam family: Bacterial small subunit ribosomal RNA
Source: RNAcentral
GUGGGGAAUCUUGCACAAUGGGGGAAACCCUGAUGCAGCGACGCCGCGUGAGCGAUGAAGCCCUUCGGGGUGUAAAGCUCUUUCGGCGGGAACGAUCAUGACGGUACCCGCAAAAGAAGCUGCGGCUAACUACGUGCCAGCAGCCGCGGUAAUACGUAGGCAGCGAGCGUUGUUCGGAGUUACUGGGCGUAAAGAGUGUGUAGGCGGCUCGGUUCGUUCGGUGUGAAAUCUCCCGGCUUAACCGGGAGGGUGCGCCGAAUACUGCCGGGCUCGAGUGCGGGAGAGGAGAGCGGAAUUCCUGGUGUAGCGGUGAAAUGCGUAGAUAUCAGGAGGAACACCGGCGGUGGAGACGGCUCUCUGGACCGUGACUGACGCUGAGACACGAAAGCGUGGGGAGCAAACAGGAUUAGAAACCCCUGUAGUCC